AUGCCAAAUCAACUGAGCUCCCUGGCUCAUGCACAUGCAAAACAUUUGAAUUUCCUGUUGGCUCAGAGUGUUUGCAUUGCAAGUGACAUCUGGCUGACAGGAACUUGGAGAAAUGGGAUACAAAGUGAAUGCUGCAGUUACCACGGUAUCAUAUUUAUCAAAAGGCUUAAGAGUUCUUGAACAGGAGGUAAUCUGACACGAAGUGUAUUUACAGUAUUGGUGGCCUACUACUACUGCUGCAGUCAUUGCUUUUCCUGAGGAUGCCAUAAACACAGAAUAUUUUCUCAAGCCAAAUUCUGGUGCUGCCUGUUUUCUGCCUCGUCCUCUGCAGGACAUUCUUGAACCAAAACCUUGAGAAGCAGCAUUUAUUACUUGGUAUAGCUAUCUGCUGAGAAGAGAAAUGUGAAAUAGACUCCCUAAAGAAGUGGUGUGCCAAAACCAUGGAAGACACUCCAUUGAGAAAAUUCAUGUGCCU
This 475-nucleotide long non-coding RNA is filed under the name Parus major (Great Tit). RNAcentral describes it as "lncRNA (ENSPMJG00000019415.1)". Lineage: Eukaryota; Metazoa; Chordata; Aves; Passeriformes; Paridae. The record is from RNAcentral.